GAAAUGCGAUAAGUAAUGUGAAUUGCAGAAUUCAGUGAAUCAUCGAAUCUUUGAACGCACAUUGCGCCCGUCAGCAUUCUGGCGGGCAUGCCUGUUCGAGCGUCAUUUCAACCCUCAGGACCCCCCUUUCGCGGGGAGGGACCUGGCGUUGGGGAUCGGCCCGCCCCCCGUGGCGGCGCCGUCCCCGAAAUCUAGUGGCGGUCUCGCUGCAGCCUCCCCUGCGUAGUAGUUACAACCUCGCAUCGGAGCGCGGCGCGGCCACGCCGUAAAACCCCAGACUUUCUGAACGUUGACCUCGGAUCAGGUAGGAAUACCCGCUGAACUUAAGC
RNAcentral lists this unclassified non-coding RNA (329 nucleotides) under plant metagenome. RNAcentral's name for it is "partial contains 5.8S ribosomal RNA, internal transcribed spacer 2, and large subunit ribosomal RNA". The stretch from base 1 to 105 matches the Rfam family "5.8S ribosomal RNA", at positions 50 to 154 of the family's 154-position model. The record is from RNAcentral.